UAUUCUUUUUUUAAGUCGUGUUUGGUGAAUUGGAGUAUUAAACAUUCGAACAACAGGGUGUUAAUUUGCCGUGUUUUAAACUUUUUUUCCUUUCUAAACUUGAGAUUUUGUUGAUAAAUUUCACAAAUUGUUAAGAAAAAAAUGAUCGAAUUACUAUUUUGCCCUUGAUUGUAUUGUAGAGGAUAAUGAACAAGCAGUGGCUUGAUUGUGCCUGAAAACAGCUGAUCAAAUUAUGUUGACUGUUCACAGCUUGUAUACACAGCACACAUAAACCUAUUGUUUUCUAAAUUAUUCUUUUACAGUUUGUUAAAAAAAAAACACACACAAUUAUUUGUUGAUAAUUUCUACAUUUUCUAACGUUUUAAGUUAUAAAUUCAUGUUGCAAAACUUCAGACUAUAAGCGUAAUUUCAAGUGAAAGUUCAUGCCAUCAUGCCGAGAUGACAUUAACGAUUCACAAUGUUACGCUUGAAAGCUUUGUCUGAUAAAGCAUGAAUUAGAUAUUCAUUAAAAUUUGAAAAUCCGAUGAUUUGCAAUUGUGGGUUUUCUACAAAAGUGGCUUGUGCAGUGAAUUUCUACUUGGCAGGGAGAAAUAUAGUAAAAAAAACGACAAUAUCUUCCACAUUUUUGAUCACAUAAAGUUUUGUUUUGUACCGUUUUGAUUUCUAAAUGGCGCUUCACUUGAAAUUACGUGUACUGUCCCUUUAAAGGACUGUCGUAUCUUAAAUUACCCUAAACUCAAAGUUACAUACCCAGCUUUUAAACCUUUAUCAGAGCAGUUAUACAGGAGAUAUUCUUGUUCUUCUGUCCAAAAAUUCUUUGAAAUUUGUGUUUUUUUUUUACAGCAGAGACAAGUAAGGAAAUUGACAGAAUUUAUCGAACUUUUAAGCAAUAGGAAAACGACCUUUUCUUCCUCGUUGUUACAUAAAUAGAGUCAAUAGCUCUGUAACUCAUAAUGCAUCUUAAGGCAAUGUGAAAAUACGCCAACGCUUAUUAUCUAGUGGUGUUUUAUUAGAAUUUCAAAACUUUCUGACUAAAAUUUGCAACGUUUUUUUCCCCGAUAAAUUAUGAAAUCCACCAAUAGAAACAGAAAAAAUCCUCGAAACAUGUUGUACGAUGAGAUAAGAAAAUGGCGGGUUAAAUGAGUCCUUAAAGGGAGUGUUUGCGAAAAAUGAAAGCCUAGUUAAGAUAUUAAUGGUUUGCAUUUUACGUUUUUAGAUUGUCUAAAAUGUUUUAAUAAAAAUUAAUCCUGGGGACUGUUUCUAGCAUAGCACUGGAAUCCAGUGCAGGUAGACGUAUCCCUCAGUCGGUCUUCGGACGUGAAGGCGUGAACACCUCAACCAACCAACCAUCUAGUGCUGACGCAAUG
Molecule: long non-coding RNA, 1367 nt
Organism: Eurytemora carolleeae
Lineage: Eukaryota; Metazoa; Arthropoda; Copepoda; Calanoida; Temoridae
Exons: 3
Source: RefSeq, a predicted model, not a curated record